AGAAUCAUUCACAAUGGGCGAAAGCCUGAUGGUGCGACGCCGCGUGGAGGAUGACAGCCCUAGGGUUGUAAACUCCUGUCAUGAGAGAGUAAAGACUUAACGUUAAUAACGUUGGGUCCUGAUAGUAUCUCAAGAGGAAGGGACGGCUAACUUCGUGCCAGCAGCCGCGGUAAUACGAAGGUCCCAAGCGUUGUUCGGAAUUACUGGGCGUAAAGCGUGCGUAGGCGGAAUGGUAAGUCAGAUGUGAAAUCCCGGGGCUCAACCUCGGAACUGCAUCCGAUACUGCCAAUCUAGAGUAGUGGAGGGGAGUCUGGAAUUCACGGUGUAGCAGUGAAAUGCGUAGAUAUCGUGAGGAACACUAGUGGCGAAGGCGAGACUCUGGACACUAACUGACGCUGAGGCACGAAGGCUAGGGUAGCGAAAGGGAUUAGAUACCCCUGUAGUCCUAGCAGUAAACGGUGUGCGUUUGGUGUGGGCGGGUUCGACCCCGUCCGUGCCGAAGCUAACGCGUUAAACGCACCGCCUGGGGAGUACGGCCGCAAGGCUAAAACUCAAAGAAAUUGACGGGGACCCGCACAAGCGGUGGAGUAUGUGGCUUAAUUCGAUGCAACGCGAAGAACCUUACCUAGGCUUGACAUGCUUGUCGUAGUUCUGUGAAAGCAGAUCGUCAGUUCGGCUGGACUUGCACAGGUGCUGCAUGGCUGUCGUCAGCUCGUGUCGUGAGAUGUUGGGUUAAGUCCCGCAACGAGCGCAACCCCUAUGAUUAGUUGCCAGCAAGUAAUGUUGGGGACUCUAGUCAGACUGCCUGUAUUAAACAGGAGGAAGGUGGGGACGACGUCAAGUCAGUAUGGCCCUUACGCCUAGGGCUGCACACGUACUACAAUGCUCAGUACAAUGUGAACCGAUACCGCAAGGUGGAGGAAAUCCUGAAAACUGAGCUCAGUUCGGAUUGUGGGCUGCAACUCGCCCACAUGAAGCUGGAAUCGCUAGUAAUGGCACAUCAGCUACGGUGCCGUGAAUACGUUCCCGGGUCUUGUACACACCGCCCGUCACAUCAUGGAAGCCGCUCGCACCCGAAGUACCUUCACUAAGAAGGUCCUAAGGUGUAGGUGGUAACUGGGAUGAAGUCGUAACAAGGUAGCCGUAGGGGAACCUGCGGCUG
RNAcentral lists this ribosomal RNA (1162 nucleotides) under marine metagenome. Its description in RNAcentral is "bacterial SSU rRNA". It matches the Rfam family "Bacterial small subunit ribosomal RNA", at positions 358 to 1520 of the family's 1533-position model. The record is from RNAcentral.